UACGUAGGGGGCUAGCGUUGUCCGGAAUCAUUGGGCGUAAAGCGCGCGUAGGCGGCCAGAUAAGUCCGGUGUGAAAGUCACAGGCUCAACCUGUGAAUGCCGCUGGAAACUGUCUGGCUAGAGUCCGGAAGGGGCGAGUGGAAUUCCUGGUGUAGCGGUGAAAUGCGCAGAUAUCAGGAGGAACACCAAUGGCGAAGGCAGCUCGCUGGGACGGUACUGACGCUGAGACGCGAAAGCGUGGGGAGCAAACAGG
RNAcentral lists this ribosomal RNA (253 nucleotides) under uncultured bacterium. Its description in RNAcentral is "partial 16S ribosomal RNA". It matches the Rfam family "Bacterial small subunit ribosomal RNA", at positions 524 to 776 of the family's 1533-position model. The record is from RNAcentral.